Molecule: transfer RNA, 65 nt
Filed under: Calliteara horishanella
Lineage: Eukaryota; Metazoa; Arthropoda; Insecta; Lepidoptera; Erebidae
Description: tRNA-Ala
Source: RNAcentral
AAAUAAGAAGCAAAUAUGCAUUUAAUUUCGACUUAAAAGAAUGAGUUUUAACUACUCCUUAUUUA